GCCCCCAUAGCUCUGUUGGUAGAGCAGGAGGCUCUUCAUCUCAGGGUUGUGGGUUCAAGCCCCACGUUGGGCA
RNAcentral lists this transfer RNA (73 nucleotides) under Podarcis lilfordi (Lilford's wall lizard). It matches the Rfam family "tRNA". From Rfam's summary of the family: Transfer RNA (tRNA) molecules are approximately 80 nucleotides in length. Their secondary structure includes four short double-helical elements and three loops (D, anti-codon, and T loops). Further hydrogen bonds mediate the characteristic L-shaped molecular structure. tRNAs have two regions of fundamental functional importance: the anti-codon, which is responsible for specific mRNA codon recognition, and the 3' end, to which the tRNAs corresponding amino acid is attached (by aminoacyl-tRNA synthetases). tRNAs cope with the degeneracy of the genetic code in two manners: having more than one tRNA (with a specific anti-codon) for a particular amino acid; and 'wobble' base-pairing, i.e. permitting non-standard base-pairing at the 3rd anti-codon position. Lineage: Eukaryota; Metazoa; Chordata; Lepidosauria; Squamata; Lacertidae. The record is from Rfam by way of RNAcentral.